UGCCAGCGGCCGCGGUAAUACGUAGAGUGCAAGCGUUGUCCGGAAUUAUUGGGCGUAAAGGGUACGCAGGCGGAUAAUCAAGUCAAGCGUGAAAGGUGUCGGCUUAACCGACAGACUGCGUUUGAAACUGAUUAUCUUGAGUGUAACAGAGGAGUGUGGAAUUCCUAGUGUAGUGGUGAAAUACGUAGAUAUUAGGAAGAACACCAGUGGCGAAGGCGACUCUCUGGGUUAACACUGACGCUGAGGUACGAAAGCUGGGGGAGCGAACGGGAUUAGAUACCCCUGUAGUCC
This 291-nucleotide ribosomal RNA is filed under the name uncultured bacterium. RNAcentral describes it as "partial 16S ribosomal RNA". It matches the Rfam family "Bacterial small subunit ribosomal RNA", at positions 506 to 796 of the family's 1533-position model. The record is from RNAcentral.